UAUCUUGAAUUAGGGUAUUGCCUAUAUCCUCUAAGAAACAACAUUUCCCUGUAGUGGAGGCACUUCCAGUUCAAGCUUGAUAACUCCAGGAUGUCAGUUGUUGUGGAGUUUCAGUCACACGCAUCCUACUGCUGUACCUCAGAAUAACUUGGCAUUCAAAUGAACUAGUUUUCACUGAAACCAGCACUGGGAGUAAGAAGUGGGCAUCAGUAUUCUUGAGACAUCUAUCAAUGUCUACAGCAAGAUCCCAUCUGAUAAAGAAAUAGGUUUAUUCUGUGAGCAGAAAGGAAGACAACACUCCUGAUCCUCCUCCUCUUCAUAUACCAGCAAGAUUUCAGGGUGGCAAUCUUUGAUGAGAUUCUGAAACAUCAAACCAGGAAACGAUGGGAAUAAGCUGAUUUCUUCCUGAGAUAACACUGAGAGCAUCACUGCAUGUCUGAGGGAGAACAGAAAACGAGUGAGAAAGAUCACAAGUCACUCAGAAUUGGAUAUCCUCAUCGCCGAGGCUGUCAGACACACCACGUCCUGUCCCUGCUGGCUGCACAGCAACACAUCUGCAUGGAUGGGGAGAUGGAAACCCAAUGUGUAUCAUCUCCUCUGAGCCUGCUCGAGUUGCUCUUCAGUGCUUCAAGGGGGAAGAAAGACCAGAAAAAUAAUAAGGCUUUGUAUGAGUGGCAGACAAGGACAAAACAACGAGUAAAACCAUGUAGGAGAAUUCAGCACACAUUUGAUAUUGAACAGAAAGGGUCUCCAUGUGGACUCCUGAGCAGGUAUGCAUUUUGUUUUCGUGCCCUACCUGGUGCUGGUUGCAAUGCAGAAGGUGUGUCCCGAUGCAGGGCUGGAUUACAUCCCACGCAGGAUCCCCAGAGACGUGCCAGUUUUCCCAUGACGUGCCCUGCAGAGAUUUGCAAUGAGCGAAGCUGA
This 924-nucleotide long non-coding RNA is filed under the name Chrysolophus pictus (golden pheasant). RNAcentral's name for it is "lncRNA (ENSCPIG00010003861.1)". The record is from RNAcentral. Lineage: Eukaryota; Metazoa; Chordata; Aves; Galliformes; Phasianidae.